AACCAAGAGUCGGGCAUUCAGCCUUACCCUUAAAGUUGGUGGGCUGUCUUGUAAUGGCCUUGGUCACAGAUAUAGGCCUAUGGGUCUUGGCUGAGUCAACUGCUUAGGGCUAUAAAAUUUAUAGGUAUUCAAUUUUCAACCUUCCUCAGGCAAAUAUCCACUAUGGGACUCCAAGCAGUAAAGGGUGAUUAUUCCUGAUUAGAACAAGAAUUGCAACUUUUGUUUUUUUUUCUUUCUAAUUUCACAAGUAGUUUUAGAAUCUUCAAAAUUGUGCGGUAUUCAUUCAUUCAUGGCCUUUAUUGCAAACUGAUAUAUCUUUCACCCAUAAUGAACUUUCACAAUGGCAUUUUCAGUUGAAGGGAUUGACCAUACAAAUCCUUUAAAUUCUAUCUUAUCUUUUUUGUUUUGGAG
RNAcentral lists this unclassified non-coding RNA (411 nucleotides) under Hevea brasiliensis (rubber tree). Lineage: Eukaryota; Viridiplantae; Streptophyta; Magnoliopsida; Malpighiales; Euphorbiaceae. The record is from RNAcentral.